AGAGUUUGAUCCUGGCUCAGGAUGAACGCUGGCGGCGUGCCUAACACAUGCAAGUCGAGCGAGGGUUUGCUCAGUAUUGAGUAUUCUAAGUCUAGAAUGUUCAAUUCUGAGCAAAACCAAGCGGCGGACGGGUGAGUAACGCGUGGGUAACCUGCCCUAUACACGUGGAUAACAUACUGAAAAGUUUACUAAUACAUGAUAAUAUAUAUUUGCGGCAUCGCAGAUAUAUCAAAGUGUUAGCGGUAUAGGAUGGACCCGCGUCUGAUUAGCUAGUUGGUGAGAUAACUGCCCACCAAGGCGACGAUCAGUAGCCGACCUGAGAGGGUGAUCGGCCACAUUGGAACUGAGACACGGUCCAAACUCCUACGGGAGGCAGCAGUGGGGAAUAUUGCACAAUGGGCGAAAGCCUGAUGCAGCAACGCCGCGUGAACGAUGAAGGUCUUCGGAUCGUAAAGUUCUGUUGCAGGGGAAGAUAAUGACGGUACCCUGUGAGGAAGCCCCGGCUAACUACGUGCCAGCAGCCGCGGUAAUACGUAGGGGGCUAGCGUUAUCCGGAUUUACUGGGCGUAAAGGGUGCGUAGGUGGUCCUUCAAGUCGGUGGUUAAAGGCUACGGCUCAACCGUAGUAAGCCGCCGAAACUGGAGGACUUGAGUGCAGGAGAGGAAAGUGGAAUUCCCAGUGUAGCGGUGAAAUGCGUAGAUAUUGGGAGGAACACCAGUAGCGAAGGCGGCUUUCUGGACUGCAACUGACACUGAGGCACGAAAGCGUGGGUAGCAAACAGGAUUAGAUACCCUGGUAGUCCACGCUGUAA
This 811-nucleotide ribosomal RNA is filed under the name uncultured bacterium. Its description in RNAcentral is "bacterial SSU rRNA". It matches the Rfam family "Bacterial small subunit ribosomal RNA", at positions 8 to 805 of the family's 1533-position model. The record is from RNAcentral.